This 3233-nucleotide long non-coding RNA is filed under the name Helianthus annuus (common sunflower). RNAcentral describes it as "hypothetical non coding rna". The record is from RNAcentral. Lineage: Eukaryota; Viridiplantae; Streptophyta; Magnoliopsida; Asterales; Asteraceae.
ACAAACCUUCUAAUCACUCCAAAAUCACUCUCUAAUCACUCCAAAAAUUCCCAGCUUUGAGCAGAAAGUUUAAGUAAUUCAAAGUGAGUUGUAGCUCACUUCUUCAACUCUUUUCUUCUUGUUUCUUCAUCAAAAACACUUGGAUAACCUCUAGGAAGGUUUUCACAAGUUUGCUUGGGCAAACUAAGGUGAAACCUCACCAUUUUUGAGGUCCAAAGUGCAUAUAAAAUUCUGCUCAUUUUUAUUUCUUUUUAUGUUCAUAUUUUGAUAGAAAACUUGGUGGAAUCUUGUUCCCACCAAGCUCACAACUUAUUCUAUGGUUGUGGGUUUGUGUUUAGGGGAUUUCCAUCAAAGUUUUGGGUUCAAACAUCCCUUUUAUUUCUGUUUACACAUAACAAAUCAAUGAUGAAAACAAGCACAAGACAUCAUCUUUUAUAUGAUGAACUUGUGACUUGUGAAGUGUGAACAAAUGGAAGCUUUGGCUUUCCAAACUAAGUUCCACUCCUUCAUUUGAACAUUUUGUAACAUGUUAGAUUAGAUUUACUUUAUUAUAUGUUCAUGACCCUCCUUGUUGUUUAUAACAACAAGUGUAGUGGUGAACAAUAGAGGUGCCUAAAUGGAAGCUUGUUCUUCCUACCUCAUGUAUGAACUCUAUGACACAAAGAGGUGCCUAAAUGGAGACAUUGAUCUCCUACCUCAUGCUUGAAUCAUAAGACUUGUAACCAAUAUAAUAUCUAAGCUAUUCUAUGUACAUACAUAUAUACCUAAGUAACUAAACUUGAUGGUAACUUAAUAGUUACUUGUCAAGAAUAUGUUACAUCAUCUAUGACCAUGCUCUUGUUACGACUCUAAUGGACCUUUGAAUCCAUGAAAUCAUACCAACUCUUUUGAGUUCUAAUAGUGUCAAGAACAAGGGUUAUGUGUACUAGAUGAUUAUUUUCACAUGUUAUUCUCAUAUGUUAUUUUCAUAUUCUUUUAUUCUGAAUCUCGACCCUAAACAUACUUGAACUUUAACCCUUACAUAUUCAACCUUCUAACCCCAUCAACUUCGUCACAUUGGAUAAUCGGAAAGCAUAUGCAAAUUUGUUGAGGAUGAUGAUGCUAUGAAAUGAAGUAGCGUUGAUGCUUAGAUACACAUAUAGACAUUUAGGUUUAAUGGAUAUAUCAAUUUUGAUUAUGUUGUAUCGUAUUUCCUUUGAACUUGACGUUAUUUGAUUUCUUUGUAAUGUUGACAAAUGAAUUAUGAAAUGAAAUUGGUUUAUUGAAUAUUGCACAGAUAGUGUUAUGAUGUCUCUAGCAAUCUUCACACUUCGUCUCAUCCCGAUGUUUCCGCCAUUGGUUGGGGUGUGACACUAAGGUGUCUACCCUUUUAUAUUUUCAAAAAUAAUAUUUUAAGGUCAUUUGGGCAUAAUGGUCAACAUAUAAGCAUUUAACGAAAACAUGCAUGUGAAUAGGAUAUCUAAUGAACCAAGUUGUAUAAUCACAAAGGGUUAUACUAACAUGUAAAUAGGUCCAAAAGAAGCUCUAAGGCAAUCCUAAACUUGGCUUAAACAGGUCAGAACUGAAAGUCAAAGCAGAAGUCAAACUAUGCGACUUUCGGUUCCAAACCGAGCCUAAACUGAAAAUUGUCGAGUUGAACAUGUUGGGACAUGUUCUUACAUUAAUUACCAAGUUAUAUUAAUGAUCAAACAGGUUGCAUGUAUCCUACAUUGCUAAUUAUGCAUUAAUUUGAAAAUACACAUUCUGUUGACUUUUUAAGGUAAGCUUUGACCCGACAAUUAACAUAGUUAGAGUGGGAAUCUGAAAAUACCAUUUUAAGGGUUUAUUACCCACAUAAUUACCUACUCACGGGUAUUUUUAAUUCGUGAUUUGACUGGACAAAUUUUAAUUAAUCACGAAGUCAAACCUUAAUUACGACAGUUUGACUUUUAGCCAAUUAACUAAGCUAAAACAAAUUUAGAAAGGUUAAGAGUACUUACAAGAGUCCUAACUAUGAUUAGGGAUCACUAAGUAGUUGGCUUGAUGUCCAGAGAGCUCCAAAGAUGAAGUUGUGAACUUUUGCCAAUGAAUGAACAACAUGGUCACAACUAGAGCUCCUUAUAUAUUAGUUUUGAUCAUCUAAGAUCAUGCCAAAGGGGUCUACAAUUGUUACCAGAUCCAGACAAGUGCCCCUACUGCAUGUAAAACCAUUGGAGAGGCCUUUGGUAUAAGAAAACAACUGAUUUAAGUCGGUUACAGCCCUUCAACUGGCACCUGCAGGUUUUCUGUCGUUGUGUCUCUCUCGCGGGUCGCGUAAGUCCAUAAGGAACUCUUACGCGGGCCGCCUGGCCUGUCAGAACCAGCCAAACAAGUUUUGAAAUUUGCACUUUUGGUCCCUGGUCCUUUGUUACGUGGUUUUAACUAUUGUUCUUGCAUUUUUGCCCUUUUAAACUUAUUUUUAAGGGUUCCAAAACAUGUAUAAACAUGGGAAAGUCCUUGAUCAACUUGUAAUCACCCGAAAAGUCAUAAAUUUCAAUGUUGAUGCUUUUAACCCCUCGUACACGAAUUUGCUCAUAAUUUUCUCAUACGAUAACGAAACUUUAUGAAAUUUUUACCACAUAUUCUAGUGAGCAUAAUUUACCGUUACAAACCUUCGGGUCUGCUAAUAGGUCACUCAGAGGUAUACUUUACACAUGUUGACGCAUUUAGCCCCUGUGGUUUGUAAUCUCUCACUUUCUUUCAUAUUUAGCUUCGUAUGAUCCAUGAUUUAUUCUUUUGAAGGUAUAUACGUCUUGUAGGACUAUUUCUAAAUAUACUUAUCCAUCGUUGACACCUUGGACCCUUAUAUUCACAUAAUUUUCCUUGUUUGUCAACUUUAGCCCUUCUAAAGUAUUCUUUCACAUGUUCAAAGCUUACGACAUGUGUCAAUUCAUUAUUGGACAUGAAUUUUCGAGGUGUUACACUUGGCAGUUGGUUACUUCACUAAAUGGGUCGAAGCUAAGCCUUUCACGGUAAUCUCUGAAUACAAUGUUACCAAGUUCUUCUCUCAUAUUUUUAAAAUUUUAGGUAAAUGUAUAAAAUUUGUCAUUUUUCACUCCACAUAGGAACCACCAAAUCUGUAUCCUAUUUUUAUUGCUACAGUAUGAUAGGGUAUAGAUAAGAAAAAAUGGUGGAUGAGAUGUAUAUAGAUAAAAGCUACUAUCUGUCUUCCAAAAACUAGUUACUAUAUAAACCUAUAUGAAAAUUAUCUGAGU